RNAcentral lists this ribosomal RNA (460 nucleotides) under uncultured bacterium. Its description in RNAcentral is "partial 16S ribosomal RNA". It matches the Rfam family "Bacterial small subunit ribosomal RNA", at positions 338 to 795 of the family's 1533-position model. The record is from RNAcentral.
CCUACGGGUGGCAGCAGUGAGGAAUAUUGGUCAAUGGACGAGAGUCUGAACCAGCCAAGUAGCGUGAAGGAUGACUGCCCUAUGGGUUGUAAACUUCUUUUAUAAAGGAAUAAAACGAGGCACGUGUGCCUUUUUGCAUGUACUUUAUGAAUAAGGAUCGGCUAACUCCGUGCCAGCAGCCGCGGUAAUACGGAGGAUCCAAGCGUUAUCCGGAUUUAUUGGGUUUAAAGGGUGCGUAGGCGGAUUGAUAAGUUAGAGGUGAAAUGUCCGAGCUUAACUCGGGAACUGCCUCUAAUACUGUUGAUCUAGAGAGUAGAUGCGGUAGAGGUAAAGGGAAUUCCUGGUGUAGCGGUGAAAUGCUUAGAUAUCAGGAGGAACAUCGGUGGCGUAAGCGCUUUACUGGGCCGUAAUUGAUGCUCGAAAGUGUGGGUAUCAAACAGGAUUAGAUACCCGAGUAGUC